GGAUGCUUUAACAUGCAGUCGAACGGCAGCACGGACUUCGGUCUGGUGGCGAGUGGCGAACGGGUGAGUAACAUAUCGGAACGUAUCCAAUAAUGGGGGAUAACGAGUCGAAAGAUUCGCUAAUACCGCAUACGCCCUACGGGGGAAAGCUGGGGACCUUCGGGCCUGGCGUUAAUGGAGCGGCCGAUAUCUGAUUAGCUAGUUGGUGAGGUAAAGGCUCACCAAGGCGACGAUCAGUAGCUGGUCUGAGAGGACGACCAGCCACACUGGAACUGAGACACGGUCCAGACUCCUACGGGAGGCAGCAGUGGGGAAUUUUGGACAAUGGGCGCAAGCCUGAUCCAGCCAUUCCGCGUGAGUGAAGAAGGCCUUCGGGUUGUAAAGCUCUUUCGCAAGGGAAGAAAACUUAGCCACUAACAUUGGCUGAGGUUGACGGUACCUUGAUAAGAAGCACCGGCUAACUACGUGCCAGCAGCCGCGGUAAUACGUAGGGUGCGAGCGUUAAUCGGAAUUACUGGGCGUAAAGCGUGCGCAGGCGGCUUUGUAAGUCAGAUGUGAAAUCCCCGAGCUCAACUUGGGAACUGCGUUUGAAACUACAAGGCUAGAAUAUGUCAGAGGGGGGUAGAAUUCCACGUGUAGCAGUGAAAUGCGUAGAGAUGUGGAGGAAUACCAAUGGCGAAGGCAGCCCCCUGGGAUAAUAUUGACGCUCAUGCACGAAAGCGUGGGGAGCAAACAGGAUUAGAUACCCUGGUAGUCCACGCCCUAAACGAUGUCUACUAGUUGUUGGUGGAGUAAAAUCCAUGAGUAACGCAGCUAACGCGUGAAGUAGACCGCCUGGGGAGUACGGUCGCAAGAUUAAAACUCAAAUGAAUUGACGGGGGCCCGCACAAGCGGUGGAUUAUGUGGAUUAAUUCGAUGCAACGCGAAAAACCUUACCUGG
This 940-nucleotide ribosomal RNA is filed under the name uncultured bacterium. RNAcentral's name for it is "bacterial SSU rRNA". It matches the Rfam family "Bacterial small subunit ribosomal RNA", at positions 42 to 978 of the family's 1533-position model. The record is from RNAcentral.